RNAcentral lists this ribosomal RNA (1981 nucleotides) under human gut metagenome. Its description in RNAcentral is "bacterial LSU rRNA". It matches the Rfam family "Bacterial large subunit ribosomal RNA", at positions 1 to 1977 of the family's 2925-position model. The record is from RNAcentral.
UUAAGAUACUAAGGGCAUACGGUGGAUGCCUUGGCGAUAUCUGCCGAAGAAGGACGCGACAAGCUGCGAAAAGCUACGGGUAGGCGCAAAUAGCCGUUGAACCGUAGAUAUCCGAAUGGAGAAAUCCGGCGGUGGUAAUGCACCGUCACCCAUACCGACCGGUAUGAGGAGGGAACUCGGUGAACUGAAACAUCUAAGUAACCGGAGGAGAAGAAAUCAAACGAGAUACCCCAAGUAGCGGCGAGCGAACGGGGAAGAAGCCUAAACCGAAUAAGGAAACUUAAUCGGGGUUGAGGACCGACAAAAUUAGAGGAAAAGUUAGCCAAAUCUCUUGGGAAAGAGAGCCGAAGACAGUGAGAGCCUGGUAGGCGAAAACAAGAACUCUAAGGACGGAAUCCAGAGUAGUGCGGGACACGAGAAAUCCCGUAUGAAGCAGGGGGGACCACCCUCCAAGGCAAAACACAGAUAUCGACCGAUAGCGCAUAGUACCAUGAGGGAAAGGUGAAAAGCACCCCGGGAGGGGAAUGAAAUAGAACCUGAAACCGUAUGUUUACAAACAGUCAGAGACCGUAUAUAAAACAGGUCGAUGGCGUGCCUAUUGAAGAAUGAACCAGCGAGUUACGAGGGCCGGCAAGGUUAAGCAGGAAAUGUGGAGCCGAAGCGAAAGCGAGUCUUAAUAGGGCGAGAAGUCGGAAAGCGUAGACCCGAAACCACAGUGAUCUACCCAUGUCCAGGUUGAAGCACAGGUAAAAAUGUGUGGAGGACCGAACCUAUAUCUGUUGAAAAAGGUUAGGAUGAGGUGUGGGUAGGGGUGAAAUUCCAAUCGAACGUGGAGAUAGCUGGUUCUCCCCGAAAUAGCUUUAGGGCUAGCCUCAAGUGGUGAUUACAGGCGGUAGAGCACUGAUCAGGAGCGGGACCUACCCGGUUACCAAACCCAGUCAAACUCCGAAUGGCUGUAAUCAAACUUGGGAGUCAGACUACGACUUAUAAGGGCCGUGGUCAAGAGGGAAACAGCCCAGAUCAUCAGCUAAGGUCCCAAAUGCCGUGCUAAGUGGCGAAGGAUGUGGCGUUUCAUAAACAACCAGGAUGUUGGCUUAGAAGCAGCCAUCAUUUAAAGAGUGCGUAAUAGCCCACUGGUCGAGAGACGCUGCGCCGAAGAUGUCCGGGGCUCAAGCACGGAACCGAAGCUAUGGCAGACGCAAGCCGUCUGGGUAGGGGAGCGUUCUUAUUGGGGAGAAGCGAUACCGGAAGGAGUCGUGGACUGAUAAGAAGUGAGAAUGCUGGUAUGAGUAUCGAAAAGAAAGGUGAGAAUCCUUUCCACCGAAAGCCCGAGGGUUCCUGAGCAACGAUCGUCGUCUCAGGGUAAGUCGGGACCUAAGCCGAGGCAAGAAGCAUAGGCGAUGGACAACAGGUUGAAAUUCCUGUACCGGAAGAGUCUGAUUGAGUGAAGGAGUGACGCAGAAGGGCACACAAGCAUGCGAGUGGAAGAGCAUGUCUAAGUGCGUAGCCUGUAUGAUAGGAAAAACCGUCAUACGAGAAGGGUGAGACAUGAAGGGGAGUUAAAGGAGACUUUAAUGAACUUGUGAAUCCCAUGCUGCCAAGAAAAGCUUCUAGCGAGGACUCGUCCGCCCGUACCGUAAACCGACACAGGUAGGCGGGGAGAGAAUCCUAAGGUGCGCGGGAAAACCCUCGUUAAGGAACUCGGCAAAUUGCAUCCGUAACUUCGGAAGAAGGAUGGCCCUUGGUAGGCGAAGAGUCAAGCACUUGGAACCGAGAAGGGUGGCAGAAAAGAGGCCCAAGCAACUGUUUACCAAAAACACAGGUGCCUGCGAAAGCGAAAGCUGAAGUAUAGGUGCUGACGCCUGCCCGGUGCUGGAAGGUUAAGGAGAGAGGUCAGCUAAGGCGAAGCUUUGAACUGAAGCCCCAGUGAACGGCGGCCGUAACUAUAACGGUCCUAAGGUAGCGAAAUUCCUUGUCGGGU